Molecule: ribosomal RNA, 445 nt
Filed under: uncultured bacterium
Lineage: Bacteria
Description: bacterial SSU rRNA
Rfam family: Bacterial small subunit ribosomal RNA
Source: RNAcentral
UGCAGUCGACGGCAGCAUAGGAGCUUGCUCCUGAUGGCGAGUGGCGAACGGGUGAGUAAUAUAUCGGAACGUGCCCUAGAGUGGGGGAUAACUAGUCGAAAGACUAGCUAAUACCGCAUACGAUCUACGGAUGAAAGUGGGGGAUCGCAAGACCUCAUGCUCCUGGAGCGGCCGAUAUCUGAUUAGCUAGUUGGUGGGGUAAAAGCCUACCAAGGCAACGAUCAGUAGCUGGUCUGAGAGGACGACCAGCCACACUGGGACUGAGACACGGCCCAGACUCCUACGGGAGGCAGCAGUGGGGAAUUUUGGACAAUGGGGGCAACCCUGAUCCAGCAAUGCCGCGUGAGUGAAGAAGGCCUUCGGGUUGUAAAGCUCUUUUGUCAGGGAAGAAACGGUGGUAGCGAAUAACUACUACUAAUGACGGUACCUGAAGAAUAAGCACCGC